RNAcentral lists this transfer RNA (71 nucleotides) under Cavia porcellus (domestic guinea pig). It matches the Rfam family "tRNA". Rfam says of the family: Transfer RNA (tRNA) molecules are approximately 80 nucleotides in length. The record is from Rfam by way of RNAcentral. Lineage: Eukaryota; Metazoa; Chordata; Mammalia; Rodentia; Caviidae.
GGGGAUUUAGCUCAGCGGCAUAAGCGCCUGCCUUGCAAGCAGGCAGUCCUGAGUUCGAUCCCCGGUACCCA